AGCUCCAAUAGCGUAUAUUAAAGUUGCUGCAGUUAAAAAGCUCGUAGUUGAAUUUCUGGUGAGCGAGAGCGGUCCGAUCAAUGAUUGGUGCUUGCUUUCGCUGGCCAUCCUUGGGUUUAGCCAGUCUGGCAUUAAGUUGUCGGGCUGGGGAUGCCCAUCGUUUACUGUGAAAAAAUUAGAGUGUUCAAAGCAGACUUAUGUCGUUGAAUAUAUUAGCAUGGAAUAAUAAGAUAGGACUACAGUGCUAUUUUGUUGGUUUGCGCACCGUGGUAAUGAUGAAUAGGGACAGUUGUGGGUAUUCGUAUUCACUUGUAAGAGGUGAUAUUCUUAGAUUAAGGGAAGACGAACUACUGCGAAAGCAUUUACCAAGGAUGUUUUCA
RNAcentral lists this ribosomal RNA (380 nucleotides) under uncultured marine Chaetocerotaceae. RNAcentral's name for it is "SSU rRNA". It matches the Rfam family "Eukaryotic small subunit ribosomal RNA", at positions 587 to 972 of the family's 1831-position model. The record is from RNAcentral. Lineage: Eukaryota; Bacillariophyta; Thalassiosirophyceae; Chaetocerotales; Chaetocerotaceae.